RNAcentral lists this ribosomal RNA (305 nucleotides) under uncultured bacterium. RNAcentral's name for it is "bacterial SSU rRNA". It matches the Rfam family "Bacterial small subunit ribosomal RNA", at positions 333 to 630 of the family's 1533-position model. The record is from RNAcentral.
CCAUACCUACGGGAGGCAGCAGUAGGGAAUUUUCGUCAAUGGGCGCAAGCCUGAACGAGCAAUGCCGCGUGAACGAGGAAGGUCUUCGGAUCGUAAAGUUCUGUUGAAGGGGAAAAAGAGCGGAGAGAGGAAAUGCUUUCUGAUUGAUAUUACCCUUCGAGGAAGUCACGGCUAACUACGUGCCAGCAGCCGCGGUAAUACGUAGGGGGCAAGCGUUAUCCGGAUUUACUGGGUGUAAAGGGAGCGUAGACGGCUGUGCAAGUCUGAAGUGAAAGCCCGUGGCUCAACCGCGGAACUGCAUCUAA